CCUCCAGACUCCUACGGGAGGCAGCAGUGGGGAAUAUUGCACAAUGGGGGAAACCCUGAUGCAGCGACGCCGCGUGAGUGAAGAAGUAAUUCGUUAUGUAAAGCUCUAUCAGCAGGGAAGAAAAUGACGGUACCUGAGUAAGAAGCCCCGGCUAACUACGUGCCAGCAGCCGCGGUAAUACGUAGGGGGCAAGCGUUAUCCGGAUUCACUGGGUGUAAAGGGAGCGUAGACGGCGACGCAAGUCUGGAGUGAAAGGCCGGGGCCCAGCCCCGGGACUACUCUGGAAACUGCGGCGCUGGAGUACGGGAGGGGCAGGCGGAAUUCCUGGUGUAGCGGUGAAAUGCGUAGAUAUUAGGAGGAACACCAGUGGCGAAGGCGGCUUACUGGACUGUAACUGACGUUGAGGCUCGAAAGCGUGGGGAGCAAACAGGAUUAGAUACCCCAGUAAAA
This 450-nucleotide ribosomal RNA is filed under the name uncultured bacterium. Its description in RNAcentral is "bacterial SSU rRNA". It matches the Rfam family "Bacterial small subunit ribosomal RNA", at positions 328 to 793 of the family's 1533-position model. The record is from RNAcentral.